Molecule: ribosomal RNA, 460 nt
Filed under: uncultured bacterium
Lineage: Bacteria
Description: partial 16S ribosomal RNA
Rfam family: Bacterial small subunit ribosomal RNA
Source: RNAcentral
CUACGGGUUGCAGCAGUAAGGAAUAUUGCGCAAUGGAGGCAACUCUGACGCAGCCAUGCCGCGUGCAGGACUGAAGGCCUUAUGGGUCGUAAACUGCUUUUAUUUAGGAAUAAACUUUCGUACGUGUACGAGACUGAAGGUACUAAAUGAAUAAGCACCGGCUAACUCCGUGCCAGCAGCCGCGGUAAUACGGAGGGUGCAAGCGUUAUCCGGAUUUAUUUGGUUUAAAGGGUGCGCAGGCGGACUAUUAAGUCAGAGGUGAAAUCCCGGAGCUCAACUUCGGAACUGCCUUUGAUACUGGUAGUCUUGAAUACGGUUGAAGUAGGCGGAAUGUAGCAUGUAGCGGUGAAAUGCAUAGAGAUGCUACAGAACACCGAUCGCGAAGGCAGCUUACUAAGCCGAUAUUGACGCUCAGGCACGAAAGCAUGGGGAGCGAACAGGAUUAGAUACCCGCGUAGUC